GAGUUUGAUUCUUGCUUAUUUAUUUAUUUUUAAUUUGCUUUAUAUGUGAGUUUUUGCAUGAUUUUGAUUAUUUAUUUUAAAUGUUAAUAAUUUGUUUUAUUUUGCAGUAAGGAAUUUUAUUAAUUAAUGAGAAUUUGAUUUAGUAAUUUUAAUUUAUUAUUGGUAAAAUUUGUGCCAGCAUCCGCGGUUAUACAAUAAAUAUAAAUAAAUAUAUUUGGUUAAAAUAGUUAAAUUUUUAUUUGAGGUUAUUAUGUUGUUUUUAGGUGAAAUUUUAAUUUUUAUUAUAACUUUAUUGUUUUGAGGCUAUGAAAUCUUUGAUUUUAAACUAGGAUUAGAUACCCUAUUAUUUUUGAUGUAAAGUAUAUUUUAACCUAGGUAGUAUUAGUUAGGAUCUUGAAACUUAAAGAAUUUGGCGGUAUUUUAGUCUAUUUAGAGGAAUUUGUUCCUUAAUCGAUAAUCCGCGUUGUACCUUACCAAAUUUUGUGUAUGUAUAUCGCCGUUAUAAUGAGAAUUUUUUUAGAAUUAAUAAUUUUCUUGAUUUGUUUUUAAAGUUUAUUUCAGGUCAAGGUGCAGUUUAUGAUUUGGUGGAAAUGAAUUACAUUAUUAUAUUAUUUGAAUUAUUUAUUGAAAUUUAAGUAUGAAAUUGGAUUUAAUUGUAAUUUUUUAAAGAUUAUAAAAGUGAUUUUAGCUCUAAAAUAUGUACAUAUCGCCCGUCGCUCUCAUUAUAUUUUAAUUUGAGAUAAGUCGUAACAUAGUGGUUGUAUCGGAAGAUGUGGCUAGAAUGAAUUAGUAUA
RNAcentral lists this non-coding RNA (794 nucleotides) under Periplaneta japonica. The record is from RNAcentral. Lineage: Eukaryota; Metazoa; Arthropoda; Insecta; Blattodea; Blattidae.